GCAAUAUUGCUGGAAACCAGAUUGGGUUGCGGAUGUCAUCUGCCCCCCCACCGCGGGAUCAUAUCCUUUGGUCUUUGUUCAACUUUGUCCACUGUAAUCCGUUUUGUCUGGCAUUAGUGGCCGUUUACUACUCUGUCAGGGCCAGAGACCGGAAGGUGCUGGGCGACCUGGAAGCCGCCCGGGAGUAUGGAUCUAAGGCUCGCUGCUUUAAUGCCAUCGCUCUUGGUAUCUCUGUGGCUUCAUUGAUCAUCACUCUUAUAUUUGUGGGCAUAGCCAUAAAUUCAGGACCACGUCAUUAGAAUCGUGAUGGGUAGAAGGAGAGAGCGUUUUCCUCCUAUCCCUUAUGACCUCGGAGCAAAGAUAUGCUGUGCUGGCUACGGAACGAAAUCAGUAAAAAUGCAUCGGAAAUUUGAGAGGGAUCCAUGUGACCACGUCAGAAUCAUGGACUGAUUGGCUUCCACCUGAGGGGACACGUUUAUAAUUAAGGCACCCUUGUAAACCGGGGUCUGAAGAUUUCUGAUGACCAUAUUCUAUUGUAAACAGAAUACUUAGUCUAAUAUGUACCUGCCUUUAACUCAUAUAGCUUAUUUUUUGUCAGUUUGACAUCCUUGUAUUCAAUUUUGUAUCACAUUUGCUUGUUUAAUGAUAUAGCAUGAAAUGUUUAUAUAGAAGCAAAUACAUUUAAGUUUUGGUACAAAGCUUCUUUUACCGUGAUUUAAUUAAAUACAUCUGAAUAAACAGCAGAGUAUUUAUACAAA
Brienomyrus brachyistius is the source of this 758-nucleotide long non-coding RNA. RefSeq lists it as uncharacterized. The transcript is spliced from 2 exons. The record is from RefSeq and is a predicted model, not a curated record. NCBI's taxonomy places the organism in Eukaryota, Metazoa, Chordata, Actinopteri, Osteoglossiformes, Mormyridae.